RNAcentral lists this ribosomal RNA (387 nucleotides) under uncultured euryarchaeote. RNAcentral's name for it is "bacterial SSU rRNA". It matches the Rfam family "Archaeal small subunit ribosomal RNA", at positions 339 to 727 of the family's 1478-position model. The record is from RNAcentral. Lineage: Archaea; Methanobacteriati; Methanobacteriota.
GCGCGAAAACUUUUCAAUGCGCGAAAGCGUGAGAAGGGAAUUCCGAGUGCUCAAGUUUUACUUGGGCUUUUGCCAAGUGUAAAAAGCUUGGCGAAUAAGGGGUGGGCAAGACUGGUGCCAGCCGCCGCGGUAACACCAGCGCCCCGAGUGGGGAUCGCGAUUAUUGGGCCUAAAGCGUUCGUAGCAGGUCUUGUAAAUUCUUUGUGAAAUCGGCAGGCUUAACCUGUCGGCGUGCAGAGAAGACUGCAAGACUCGAGACCGGGAGAGGUUAGAAGUAUUCCUUGGGUACCGGUAAAAUGGGUUAAUCCAAGGAGGACUACCAAUGGCGAAGGCAUCUAACCAGAACGGUUCUGACUGUGAGGGACGAAAGCUAGGGGAGCAAAACGG